AUUCGUUGGAUGAGUGUGAGGCUUUGGAUUGAUUUCAUUCAAUCCGAGCUCCACAUUCAUCAGGGGCUCGU
Nicotiana sylvestris (wood tobacco) is the source of this 71-nucleotide non-coding RNA. NCBI's taxonomy places the organism in Eukaryota, Viridiplantae, Streptophyta, Magnoliopsida, Solanales, Solanaceae. The record is from Rfam.